GUGCCGCUCACGCCCGGUCGUACU
RNAcentral lists this small nuclear RNA (24 nucleotides) under Arabidopsis thaliana (thale cress). RNAcentral describes it as "snRNA_06684". The record is from RNAcentral. Lineage: Eukaryota; Viridiplantae; Streptophyta; Magnoliopsida; Brassicales; Brassicaceae.